This 497-nucleotide ribosomal RNA is filed under the name uncultured bacterium. RNAcentral describes it as "partial 16S ribosomal RNA". It matches the Rfam family "Bacterial small subunit ribosomal RNA", at positions 28 to 507 of the family's 1533-position model. The record is from RNAcentral.
GAUGAACGCUGGCGGCGUGCCUGAUACAUGCGAGUCGAGCGAACGGACGAGAAGCUUGCUUCUCUGAUGUUAGCGGCGGACGGGUGAGUAACACGUGGAUAACCUACCUAUAAGACUGGGAUAACUUCGGGAAACCGGAGCUAAUACCGGAUGAUAUUUUGAACCGCAUGGUUCAAAAGUGAAAGACGGUCUUGCUGUCACUUAUAGAUGGAUCCGCGCUGCAUUAGCUAGUUGGUAAGGUAACGGCUUACCAAGGCAACGAUGCGUAGCCGACCUGAGAGGGUGAUCGCCCACACUGGAGCUGAGACACGGUCCAGACUCCUACGGGAGGCAGCAGUAGGGAAUCUUCCGCAAUGGGCGAAAGCCUGACGGAGCAACGCCGCGUGAGUGAUGAAGGUCUUCGGAUCGUAAAACUCUGUUAUUAGGGAAGAACAUAUGUGUAAGUAACUGUGCACAUCUUGACGGUACCUAAUCAGAAAGCCACGGCUAACUACGUG